Molecule: ribosomal RNA, 216 nt
Filed under: uncultured bacterium
Lineage: Bacteria
Description: partial 16S ribosomal RNA
Rfam family: Bacterial small subunit ribosomal RNA
Source: RNAcentral
CGUCUCAGUUCAGAUUGCAGGCUGCAACUCGCCUGCAUGAAGUCGGAAUUGCUGUAAUCGCAGAUCAGCAUGCUGCGGUGAAUACGUUCCCGGGUCUUGUACACACCGCCCGUCACACCAUGGGAGCCGGUAAUACCCGAAGUCAGUAGUCUAACCGCAAGGAGGACGCUGCCGAAGGUAGGAUUGGCGACUGGGGUGAAGUCGUAACAAGGUACC